RNAcentral lists this long non-coding RNA (2187 nucleotides) under Homo sapiens (human). Its description in RNAcentral is "HSALNT0362097". Lineage: Eukaryota; Metazoa; Chordata; Mammalia; Primates; Hominidae. The record is from RNAcentral.
UUACAGGCAUGAGCCACCACGCCCAGCCCAUACCUGCUCUAUAGAGAGGGUGAAGUUUGCUCAUCUGGGCCUGCAGCACCCAGGAGCUCCUGAAAGAGCUCAUGGCAGUUUCAGAGUAGACAGAGGAUGUGAGAAGCAGUGACUCUUGUUUGGAAAUCUUCUAAAUUGGCUGACUCCCAUUUACAUGCUGUUUCUGGCAGCAGAGAUCAGUCUGGGUCACCUCUAUGCUGCUGAGUAAAUAUGCUCAAAAUUAUUACUAUUUCAGACAAAUGUUUAACUGUUCUCAGAUUAUCUAUAACACCCCAGGCCAAAGUCACAGCAAUCUAACCUGGGAGUGAGUUUACUUUACUUUGUGAUUUAUGGAAUGAGAAUUCUGGGUGCUCUGUGGGACUAAUUUAAUACGAAACAUUCAGAUGUCUGUCUUAUAAUGCCAUUCAUCUUUCCUUAGCCUGCCUGCACCAGGGAGCAUGUGGUUCAGAGAGCAGCCUCUCCCUUCUCAGCCACAAAUCAUCACGCUUGUGAAAGGGGGUGACAAGUCUUCCCUUCUAAGCCAGGCUGCCUGCAACAGAGGGUCUGUCUGGUCUCUGAUGGAAGAAAAGUGUUUUCCACUCUUUCAGGCUGUUGGAGUGUUUUGAAAGGUACAGUUGGCAAAGUAGGAUUCCUAGUCAACAUUGCUUUGGUUUGCCUUUUGGUAAAGGGAAUUUAGUCAGUCUAUACUGUCUUAUCAACAGGUGCAGAUUUGUUUUAUAAGAAGGCAAUGUGAUGUUCUAUGGAUUGACAUAAUGCACGUGAGAAGAAAGUUCUACAAAAAGCUAAACUCUGAUUCAGUGUAGUACUUACAUUUGAAAAGCAGAUAUUUCAAUGCAUGGCUAAAAAGGAACAAAAAUAAAACUUUUUAAACCAACAAGUUACCCUAAAUCUCACAUUCAUCCAACAAAUAUUCAUGAACGCCUGCUAUGUAGUAAGGGCUAUUCAGGCACUGGGAACACAAUUCUGAACACCCUACUUUCAUGGAGUUUGCAGACCAGUGAGAGAAAGGGCAUGUCCACAGUGGUAAGUCCUACAAGGGUGAGCAACAGGUACAGGGGGAGCACAUGGAAGGAAGUUCCCCACACAGUCAUAUAAAAUGACAUGAGAAAGCUGCAGGAAGAAAAUGUGCAAAAUCAUGGAAGUAAGAGAGAAUAUACAAUCUUGGGGAAUGGGGAAAAGUUUAGCAUGGGUGGAGUGCAGAACUCUGUGAACAAAGGGCUGAGAACCCAGACUUCAGAGCCAGGGGACCUCCGGAUUCCAAAGGCCUUUGGGCACAGGGGAGCGAGUUUGUCCUGCAUUUUGAUGGCAACAGAGGGCCACUUAAGCUCUUUAAGUGAGGAAGUGACAUGAUAUGAUUCUUAUUCUAGAAAGAUCAUUCUGGCUACAACUUUGACAAAGAAUUCGAUAGAAGCAAGGCUCUGGGGGUGGGGGUGUGUGCAGUGACUAGUUGGAAAAUCAGUGUUAUUAUACCAGUGAGUGAUGGCAGUGGUCUGAAGUCAGAUAGGUUCUGGAGUCUGGGAAGUUGAAGAUCAAGGUGCCAGCAGAUUCAGUUUCUGAGAUAUAAGGCAUGACAACAACUCCUUUAAGGGGAAGAUAAGAUAUCUUUCAACUUCUACUUGCGAUGCUGUGAUGCUUUAGGCACUAAAGCAGAAUUAGAGAGCUGCUGCAGGAAUGGGAGAAGACAAACGCUUCAGGACCAUAGAAGGAGGGGCACAGGCAAUCAUAAAUCAGAGAAAGAUGCUGGUCCUGCAGAAAGAGCCACUAACCCUGGAGAGAGAGCCGCCUUGGUGCAUUGAUGACUGAUGAGCCGACAACAGUUGGAGAUGAGAGUAAGUCUAGCAAUGUUCAAAGAGUGGGUGGGAAGAACAUGGCUAAAUCAUCCAGAAUAGCCACAGCAGUGAAAGCAGUUGAGAGAAAGUCCACAUUGGAUGGGAUUCAAAUACCAUCUGGGGGUUUCAUUAUAGAAGGUAUAGAGAAGCACUUUGAAAUGUGAUCUGUUUCUCAUUCUUCCAGCAAAAGUCUCAAACACUGAAACUCUGAGCUUCUUUGGAGUCACUGUCAUUAGCCAGACACCCCCAGUGAAAUCCAAACCCUACCCUUCCUGCUGCCUGUUCAUUUCUCACACACAGUCCAUCCUCCAGAGGUAUUUUAUACAGC